Long non-coding RNA from Carassius gibelio (silver crucian carp), 644 nucleotides. RefSeq lists it as uncharacterized. Lineage: Eukaryota; Metazoa; Chordata; Actinopteri; Cypriniformes; Cyprinidae. The record is from RefSeq and is a predicted model, not a curated record. The transcript is spliced from 4 exons.
AUGGGCGAGUGGAGCUCCACUCUCAAACCGGAAAUACGUCACCUCCACUUGAAAACAUCAAGAUGGCGUCGCCGGGAGUACUUCAAACUUAAAAUCAGGGAUAGGAUUGGCAUGGAAGAUGCAGCACUCUUUACAUUUUAAAUAUCAAAUGUAUAUCAAGUGUUAUCCAUCCUGAUAACACCUCCACAAAUAGAGACUGGAACUUCUGAGCACCAUCACCUUGUCUGCUAUGGGACUGUCAUAGCCCAGCAAUCAGAUGCAUCAGAACAACAAAGCACAACUGUGGUGGACCAGGCACCUUCAGCAACAAGUAAAUUGCUUUAACAUUAAUGAUAAUUAAAUGUCAGUAUUGUAAUUAAACUUGACCCAUCUGACGUAAUUGUUCAUGCCAGAGAUUUAACAACACUGUCAGUCAGGAGCAUAUUUAACAGGAGCCACACUCAACUGGCUUGAUGGUGACUUCAGUAAGUGUGGUUGAUCCACUUGUUUUUGUGGCUAUAAUAAUUAGGCUAAGUAAUCUCACUCUCUUCCAUUUCCCUAACAUGAAACUUUUGACUGAAACAUGAAAAUGAUACUUAACCGGUGUAGUGAGGAUAUUUAAAGAGACGCUGUCACUAUCUAAAGUACAGAAAGCCUUACAUCAU